RNAcentral lists this ribosomal RNA (852 nucleotides) under uncultured marine bacterium. RNAcentral's name for it is "bacterial SSU rRNA". It matches the Rfam family "Bacterial small subunit ribosomal RNA", at positions 37 to 936 of the family's 1533-position model. The record is from RNAcentral.
UUUGAGAGCGGUGCUACCUGCAGUCGACGAAUCUUUCGGGAUUAGUGGCGGACGGGUGAGUAACGCGUGAGAAUCUGCCUUCAGGAUGGGGAUAACAGUUAGAAAUGACUGCUAAAACCCAAUGUGCCGAAAGGUGAAAUAUUUAUAGCCUGGAGAGGAGCUCGCGUCCGAUUAGCUAGUUGGGGUGGUAAAAGCGCACCAAGGCAACGAUCGGUAGCUGGUCUGAGAGGAUGAGCAGCCACACUGGGACUGAGACACGGCCCAGACUCCUACGGGAGGCAGCAGUGGGGAAUUUUCCGCAAUGGGCGAAAGCCUGACGGAGCAAUACCGCGUGAGGGAGGAAGGCUUUUGGGUUGUAAACCUCUUUUCUCAAGGAAGAAGAUCUGACGGUACUUGAGGAAUCAGCAUCGGCUAACUCCGUGCCAGCAGCCGCGGUAAUACGGAGGAUGCAAGCGUUAUCCGGAAUUAUUGGGCGUAAAGCGUCCGCAGGUGGUACAUCAAGUCUGCUGUUAAAGACCAGGGCUUAACUCUGGGCAGGCAGAAGAAACUGGUGAACUAGAGUACGGUAGGGGUAGAGGGAAUUCCCAGUGUAGCGGUGAAAUGCGUAGAGAUUGGGAAGAACACCAGUGGCGAAGGCGCUCUACUGGACCUGUACUGACACUCAGGGACGAAAGCUAGGGUAGCGAAAGGGAUUAGAUACCCCUGUAGUCCUAGCUGUAAACGAUGGAUACUAGGCGUUGCUUGUAUCGACCCGAGCAGUGCCGUAGCUAACGCGUUAAGUAUCCCGCCUGGGGAGUACACACGCAAGUGUGAAACUCAAAGGAAUUGACGGGGGCCCGCACAAGCGGUGGA